Bombyx mori (domestic silkworm) is the source of this 692-nucleotide long non-coding RNA. RefSeq lists it as uncharacterized. The transcript has 2 exons. NCBI's taxonomy places the organism in Eukaryota, Metazoa, Arthropoda, Insecta, Lepidoptera, Bombycidae. The record is from RefSeq and is a predicted model, not a curated record.
AGAUCGUAAAAUGUGAGGUAAAAUGACUAUAUAAAUUAAAUUAAUAAAUGUCUGUUUUGAAUUAUAGAUAGAAGAUUUUAACCGUACAGGUCCGGUGUCCUACUACCUAUUCGCUGGUGGCCUAAAAGGCUAUUCCAGUCCGGACGGGUAGGUGAGCUUACGGGCUCAACCUGAGAAAAUUUGCUAACUAGCUUGCCCUAGCAAGAGCAGUGCUUCACAGAAUCUGCCACUGGAUCGGAAUCGCGACCCACUGAGAAGAUCCGCGGAGCAACUCAGUGGGCUUAAACAUGGAGUCAUUUUAAGACAAGCUUUCGUUAUAGUGUUGGUUUCCAAGAGUCGUAGACACAAUUAAAAGCUAAAUUUAAAAAAAAAAAAUUAAUAAAAAUGUCACGCAUUUUUAUUAUUUUCUCAAAUUCGGACGUAUCGUGUAAUUUCACACUUACAAUUUUUUUGGUCACUGACAACUAAGAGGUCGACACGACAGGAAAGAAAAUUCAAUGCUAGAAAAUCAUGCCCAUCCGGAGCAUUCGUCUUUACAUUUUUGUUCAGUCGGGAAAUUGUUACUGACAGGUGAAUCUGGCACAUUGGGGCAGUGAGCCGACCAUCGGAUCUCGACGCAUUUCUGGAAGUCCCAGUCAAAGACGUACCUGAAAAGAUUGAACGACAAUAUUAAAUUGGAUAAAUAAAUAAAA